Long non-coding RNA from Lolium perenne, 1108 nucleotides. RefSeq lists it as uncharacterized. The record is from RefSeq and is a predicted model, not a curated record. Lineage: Eukaryota; Viridiplantae; Streptophyta; Magnoliopsida; Poales; Poaceae.
GUCUUCCCCUAAAUCACGCACUUUCCCAUUUCCUUUCCUUUUUUGCUCAGAUGUGCGGCCGCUCCAGCUCCCGCUGCGGUGCCCGUCCUCGAUCUUGGCUUGGUGCUCUUCCAUAUCCCCUCCCUCCAUAGACCACUCCGGCGAAUCCUCCGACAACUCACUGCGGACCUCGAUGUCACCGUGCCGUGCGCUCCGAUGGCCGCCUCCGGUCUAUCCCGCUGCCAUAUCCACGAGGCAGAGCAGCUGCGCUCCUCUCCCGGCUCCGGCCACCAGCGCCGGCCCUGCAGCGCGCUAUCGUCCUCUUCACUGCGGCCAUAUGUUUGUCUGAUUCGUUGUGCCAGGCGGGGAAGGAGCAGGUUUUGGAAGGGGAAAAGCAUGCGGCUGGUCUGGGAUACUGACACUCUAAUGGACAGGUUUUCAACUAACCGUUGCAUCUGAAGUUUUGAAUUCUGACACAACUUAGGCAGUCUUGAACAACACUUGCUUACUCUUCUGGUACCAAGAACAUGGUUUUGAUUUUGGAGUGGAACACUUGGUUAAUGAAAACAAGUAAAUCUAUGGCAGUUGCUAUCCAGGAUCAUAGAACUUGACAGGGUAAACCUAAGAUUUUAUUGGUUUUCUACAUAUUACAUUGGCAAAGUCUGAUAUUCAAAUGACAGAUGUCUCGAUUGAGCAAAGUAGUUUGCUCCUUGAUGGUGUCUGGCAAAUUGGUAGCAAGCGUGGAGGAUGGGUGAUUUGACAGUUGGACUUCCGGCGAACAGCAAUUUCGAGGACGGAGGGUGAAAUCGAUUUUGAGCACACAGGGGGGAAAUCGUGUCGAGUAGUCAGAACUUGUGGUGGUGCUUAUGUGUGGCUUAUUCUGUAUGUUUAUAUAGGAGAACCUGAAGAACGAUGUGAUCCUGGUCGAACUUGGUUAGCUGUGUUCGAUCAGGAGACGGUAAGUUUUUUAUAUGGUGGACACGGUCAGCUAUGUGUUAUGGGCCUUCAAAUUUAACCUGAAGAAAGAUGUGCUCCUGGUCGGAACUUGGUCAGUUGUGUUCGAUCAGGAGACGGUAAGAUUUUUUUAUGGUGAACACGGUCAGCUAUGUAUUAUGGGCCUUCAAAUUUA